RNAcentral lists this long non-coding RNA (337 nucleotides) under Homo sapiens (human). Its description in RNAcentral is "non-protein coding lnc-KCNH1-1:4". Lineage: Eukaryota; Metazoa; Chordata; Mammalia; Primates; Hominidae. The record is from RNAcentral.
GUGUAAAUUUCCUCAUGUCAGGGCUGUGCCUUCAUCAGCUGAGAAGUUUAGCAUAUCCUCAGAAUGACCCUGUAUGGCAGAUGCACCAGAAUGUGUGUUCUCCCACCAGGCCCGGAGUCUUGCUAUUUGCUGCUAAAUUAAUAUAUUACCUAAUGCAGAAACCACGUUAAGAACUCCAGCUUUCGGCUCCAACAGGAGCUUCUGAUGGGUUAAAGGCAACAUCUUGCUUUAAUUCCCCCCUUUUUCCCAUCCUCCCCCCACUCCCCACCACCACCAACUACAAAUGUCAGAAAUAAAUUAUUGAAACCAGAUGUAAGGUUUUUGGGUGCACAUUUUC